RNAcentral lists this long non-coding RNA (725 nucleotides) under Anolis carolinensis (green anole). RNAcentral describes it as "lncRNA (ENSACAG00000034168.2)". The record is from RNAcentral. Lineage: Eukaryota; Metazoa; Chordata; Lepidosauria; Squamata; Anolidae.
UUAAUGGAAGAAAAAAACCUGCCUCACCUUAUUUGCCAUACAGAGUAAUUGAUUUGUUAAUAUGUAUAUUUUCUCUAGAGAAAAUGGGCAAAAUGUUUUAAACCCACAUCCUCUUAGUAUCCCGGCUCCAAUACUGUUCUAUCAUUUGGAUUUACUUCAAUAUUUACACCAGUUGAUUCAAUAGCCUUCCUAUAAGUGAGAUUACUAAUUAUGUCUUUCGAUGUAUAGGAAAUAUUACAAAAUUUUAUGAAACUGCUCAUAGACUGAAGGAGUCUCUAAAUACUAAUAUAUAAUAUUGUGUACCUUUUUUAUAGAGUGCCAACAGUUUUAAUGGCAAUGCAAUUGGUGGCAACAGCUUCAACAACAAUGCUAACAGCUUUGCAGCUGAUCCAGGAAGUGUGGACAGUUUUAAUGGCAAUGCCAUUGGUGGUAACAGCUUUGAUGGCAAUCAGAACAGCUUUGCAGCAGCUCCAGGGAAUAUUGGCAGCUUUAAUGGUAACUCAGGGGGUGAUGACAGCUUCAACAACAAUGGCAAUACAAAUGAUGAACCUAUCAUAUUCUAUUAAAUGGCCACAGAAGUCCAGACACUCUCCAACCAAUGCCAUUCAGCAUUUUUUCGAUCAUUUCAUCUUGAAUGACCAUUGAAGGAAACUACCCUGACAUCACUACAGAUCCCCCCGUCCCCCUUACAAAUAAAUAAACCAAUAAUAUAUUCAAGCUAUAAG